UACAGAGGUCCCGAGCGUUGUUCGGAUUCACUGGGCGUAAAGGGUGCGUAGGUGGCUUGACAAGUUUGAUGUGAAAUCUCCGGGCUUAACCCGGAAAAUGCAUUGAAUACUGUAGAGGCUUGAGGGUUGGAGGGGGGAUUGGAAUUCUCGGUGUAGCAGUGAAAUGCGUAGAUAUCGAGAGGAACACCAGUGGCGAAGGCGAGUCCCUGGACAACACCUGACACUGAGGCACGAAAGCCGGGGGAGCAAACAGG
Molecule: ribosomal RNA, 254 nt
Filed under: uncultured bacterium
Lineage: Bacteria
Description: partial 16S ribosomal RNA
Rfam family: Bacterial small subunit ribosomal RNA
Source: RNAcentral